AUGCCUUAUGUUGGCACAAUGGCAGAUUCCAACCUCAGAGGCCUGGUAGGUGGCAAGUACACCACAGGACAUGCAAAUGCAUUCUCUCUAUUUGUUCAUUCAUGUUUUACAUCUUACUCGAUCAUGUUGGCAUCCAGUAAUCUUAUAUGCAUGUGGUUUCCUCAACCUGGAGUUAAAUACAGGCUGGUCAUGAAUGAGCUUAUAAGUGUUUCUAAUGGUCUUUUUAUGCAUGAAUUAUUCAGUUAUUUGAAUCAUGGGUUUGUUUUGGUAUAUGUUCCUUCGAUGGUGACCUGUUCAGUUGAACUUUUGACAGGCUAG
Molecule: ribosomal RNA, 318 nt
Filed under: Triticum aestivum (bread wheat)
Lineage: Eukaryota; Viridiplantae; Streptophyta; Magnoliopsida; Poales; Poaceae
Description: partial small subunit ribosomal RNA
Source: RNAcentral